This 263-nucleotide ribosomal RNA is filed under the name uncultured prokaryote. RNAcentral describes it as "partial 16S ribosomal RNA". It matches the Rfam family "Bacterial small subunit ribosomal RNA", at positions 524 to 788 of the family's 1533-position model. The record is from RNAcentral.
UACGUAGGGGCGAGCGUUGUCCGGAUUUACUGGGCGUAAAGGGUGAGUAGGCGGUUGUAUAUGUCAGGUGUAAAAGGCUAUGGCUUAACCAUGGUUAGCACUUGAAACUGUACAAUUUGAGUGCAGGAGAGGUAAGUGGAAUUCCUAGUGUAGCGGUGAAAUGCGUAGAUAUUACACAGAACACCGAUUGCGAAGGCAGCUUACUAAUCCAUCAUUGACGCUGAGGCACGAAAGCGUGGGGAUCAAACAGGAUUAGAUACCCU